UCUACAAAGUAGGGUGCACACGAAUUUAGUAGAUUGUAGGACAAUAGUAAAACUUCUACUUAAAUCUGAAAAUCAUUCAUUACUUUGUUUACAGUAUGUUGCAAUGUAUUACAAUUUAUAUGUUCCUCAUUUAGAUUUAUCAAUACUGGAGGAGGAUUCAGGGAAGAUGGCAAAGUAAGUCAGUAAAUUUCAAGUUCUGCAGAUCUCCCCCAUAAACAAAUCAAUUUGCCUCAAGGUAAAUACAGACUGAUGAAAAACAAGUCUGUAGAACAGGGGUCCUUCUGCUACAACCUGAGAAAACUCAAAUAAAGACCCAGGACAGUUUUAACCAGUGUGAAGUAUAAACACCUCCAGGCUAGCUCCACAGGAACAUCAAGUGAGGACUCUUAGGGAUAACUGAGUUCAACCAGAACCACGAGAACUUCAACCUCCCAGAUUGCGAGAAUAGGAAUCCCAGUCCAGGAAAACAGAAAGAAUCUUUGCUGAUUAGGAAUGCAAGACCCAAUUGUGCUGCUCAGACAACGAGAAGUAUACCUGAUACACAGAAGAAAGAACCUAUUUGAUCACUGCACUUAUUUUGCCAAGGUGAGAAGAAACCUCUUCCAGUGGCUUUCAUUGGCAACAAGAAACGCAGAAAGGAAAUUAAAAAAACAAAAACUGCAGCAGCAAAUAUGAAUUACAAUAGAAAACCUUAAAUCCAAGGCCGACCCUUUGUUGACCCUCUCUAACAGGGA
Sarcophilus harrisii (Tasmanian devil) is the source of this 734-nucleotide long non-coding RNA. RefSeq lists it as uncharacterized. The record is from RefSeq and is a predicted model, not a curated record. NCBI's taxonomy places the organism in Eukaryota, Metazoa, Chordata, Mammalia, Dasyuromorphia, Dasyuridae. The transcript has 2 exons.